AUUGAACGCUGGCGGUAUGCUUUACACAUGCAAGUCGAACGGUAACAGGCCGCAAGGUUCUGAUGACUGGCGGACGGGUGCGUAAUGCAUCGGAACGUGCCCAAACGUGCUUUAUAACUGCGCGUAAGAUUAGCUAAUAUCCCAUACUAUCGCAUGAUACCAGCGGGUGACCGCAAGGCCUCUUCCGAUCUUGCCCGCCGAUGUCAGAUUAGGUAGUUGGUGGGGUAAAGGCUCACCAAGGCGACGAUCGGUAGCUGGUCUGAGAGGAUGACCAGCCACACUGGAACUGAGACACGGCCCAGACUCCUACGGGAGGCAGCAGUGGGGAAUAUUGGACAAUGGGCGCAAGCCUGAUCCAGCAAUGCCGCGUGGAGGAAGAAGGCCUUCGGGUUGUAAAGUGCUUUUGUUGGGAAAGAAAAGGAUCUGGUUAAUACCCGGGGGUAAUGACGGUACCGAAAGAAUAAGCACCGGCUAACUACGUG
Molecule: ribosomal RNA, 482 nt
Filed under: uncultured bacterium
Lineage: Bacteria
Description: partial 16S ribosomal RNA
Rfam family: Bacterial small subunit ribosomal RNA
Source: RNAcentral